Molecule: small nucleolar RNA, 108 nt
Filed under: Arabis alpina (gray rockcress)
Lineage: Eukaryota; Viridiplantae; Streptophyta; Magnoliopsida; Brassicales; Brassicaceae
Description: Plant small nucleolar RNA R71
Rfam family: Plant small nucleolar RNA R71
About the family: R71 is a member of the C/D box family of snoRNAs containing the C (UGAUGA) and D (CUGA) box motifs. Multiple nearly identical copies of this snoRNA have been identified in Arabidopsis, and it is thought to function as a 2'-O-ribose methylation guide for 18S ribosomal RNA.
Source: Rfam by way of RNAcentral
ACUCCACGGUGAUGACAAGAUCUAGUGUAUCCCUUCAAUCUUUCCCAUGCUUCAUAGAGAGCUUCAUUUGGACCUUGUUUAAAGCUUGUGAUGUUGUUUCUAAUGCAU